UAAGCAGAGAUUGUGUGUAUCGGAAUUUUGCUUAUUUCUUGCAAUUUAAUCCGAAAGAUUUCUCUGCGAGAUUGAUUUUGGUGAAGGUGGGCAGUUGAGUUUCAUAAUAAUCUAUUGAUUCAAUCAACAAUCAUUUUCUCCAUAUUU
Molecule: small nucleolar RNA, 147 nt
Organism: Papaver somniferum (opium poppy)
Lineage: Eukaryota; Viridiplantae; Streptophyta; Magnoliopsida; Ranunculales; Papaveraceae
Product: small nucleolar RNA snoR135
Exons: 1
Source: RefSeq, a predicted model, not a curated record